RNAcentral lists this transfer RNA (68 nucleotides) under marine eukaryotic metagenome. It matches the Rfam family "tRNA". Rfam says of the family: Transfer RNA (tRNA) molecules are approximately 80 nucleotides in length. Their secondary structure includes four short double-helical elements and three loops (D, anti-codon, and T loops). The record is from RNAcentral.
GGGCAUAGCUCAGAUGGUAGAGCAUCGGCCUUCCAAGCCGAGUGUCGCGGGUUCGAAUCCCGUUGCUC